GCGAGAGUGGCGAAAUUGGCAUACGCGCCAGAUUUAGGAUCUGGUGCCCUCGGGCGUGGGGGUUCGAGUCCCCCCUCUCGCAUCA
Molecule: transfer RNA, 85 nt
Filed under: Bacteroidota bacterium
Lineage: Bacteria; Pseudomonadati; Bacteroidota
Description: Bacteroidetes bacterium (hydrothermal vent metagenome) tRNA-Leu
Rfam family: tRNA
About the family: Transfer RNA (tRNA) molecules are approximately 80 nucleotides in length. Their secondary structure includes four short double-helical elements and three loops (D, anti-codon, and T loops). Further hydrogen bonds mediate the characteristic L-shaped molecular structure. tRNAs have two regions of fundamental functional importance: the anti-codon, which is responsible for specific mRNA codon recognition, and the 3' end, to which the tRNAs corresponding amino acid is attached (by aminoacyl-tRNA synthetases). tRNAs cope with the degeneracy of the genetic code in two manners: having more than one tRNA (with a specific anti-codon) for a particular amino acid; and 'wobble' base-pairing, i.e. permitting non-standard base-pairing at the 3rd anti-codon position.
Source: RNAcentral